AUCUUCAAGAACUGCUUUUGGAUCAAGUAUUCGCUUCUCCUUGCUUCUUUCUCGCGUUAUUCCUCUUGAGUUUUGUUACCUUUCGGCUGGAAAUGGACCACUUGCCGCUGGUGUGGCAGUGGUUGGAGCAUGACCAUGUUGAUGAUGAGCUGUCACUGGCCCAUUCCAAGAGGUUUUCUGGAUAGAAAUUCCUUUUCAGGGAGAUUAGAGGGACGGAACCUUUUGACGUAUUCUUUAUGACAGGAGGGUUUCAUGCCUAUAAUCCCAGCACUUGGAAGACGGAGAUAAAAGGGUCGCCGUGAGUUUGAGGACAGCCUGCACUACAGAAAACUACUUCCCCAGAACGGAGGUGUGUGAAAUGUCUUUGUCCCCCUAGGAAGUGUGGGAGUCACCACUGAGCCUUGUCAGGCCAGGUGGGAAGCUGAGACCGAUGAAGUGGUCCUGCAGCGGUGGCAGAAGCAGAUAGAUUAUGGCAAGUGCAUACCUGGGUACCAGAGCUUUCUGCAGCAGGUCCCCAGGGCACAGCGACAGCCGGGUUUUCACCCUCAAACACCAAACAAAAACAGGAGAUACAGUCGCAGAUCCUGAGAUGCCCAAAUCAGGCAAUGGAGAAGAGCCCUGCAUACCUGGGACCCCCCAAGCCAGCCUCUCCAUGACAGACAGGCUGAGGGGUGUGUUCACUAAUCUGGCUCCUAUGAGUGGAAAGCAACAAAGAACUUCCUAAGGACAUUGGGUUCUACUCCUUUAGAUGAUCUCCUGGUAGCUGGCCCCAGGGCUCAGAAUCCUCAGAGAAUUGGGACAGAGUUUGCAUACUUGAAGCUUCCUGCUUCCUCCCCGGCCCAGCUCAAAGAUGAAGUUCUCUAUCACUAAGUCUACCUGUUUCCCUAUCCCAGAUGAGGGGGCUUCAAAACACUUAGAGUAAACCCUUGACUUUUAGGGAUUUGCUGCUACAACUGUAAUAAUGAAAUGACUGGAAUUACCACUUUCUAUCCGACUAAAGAAAGGAAUCUGAAACUCUGCCCUACAGUGAUCUGAGCAUGAGAGCAUUUAUUGAAAAAAAUUUUUCCCAUCUGAGACCUCCAAUUUACAGAAGAGCCAGAAGCCUCUAUGGGCUUUCUUCCCUACUGACAUCAACACCCAGCCUAUUGAAAAAAAACUUAAAACUUUGGUUGAGGUGGGAGGUGGUGAUAAUGGUACAGACUUAAUAAAAAUGUGGUUUCCA
Molecule: long non-coding RNA, 1222 nt
Filed under: Mus musculus (house mouse)
Lineage: Eukaryota; Metazoa; Chordata; Mammalia; Rodentia; Muridae
Description: RIKEN cDNA 2010110K18 gene
Source: RNAcentral